This 253-nucleotide ribosomal RNA is filed under the name uncultured bacterium. RNAcentral's name for it is "partial 16S ribosomal RNA". It matches the Rfam family "Bacterial small subunit ribosomal RNA", at positions 524 to 776 of the family's 1533-position model. The record is from RNAcentral.
UACGAAGGGUGCAAGCGUUACUCGGAAUUACUGGGCGUAAAGGGUGCGUAGGUGGUUUGUUAAGUCUGCUGUGAAAUCCCCGGGCUCAACCUGGGAAUGGCAGUGGAUACUGGCAAGCUAGAGUGCGGUAGAGGUAGGUAGAAUUCCCGGUGUAGUGGUGAAAUGCGUAGAGAUCGGGAGGAAUACCUGUGGCGAAGGCGGCCUACUGGGCCGGACCUGACGCUGAGACGCGAAGGCGUGGGGAGCGAACGGG